AGUUAAAUGUAAACCAAACAUAAAAAACAUAAUUUGUAAAAUAUGUUUUCUUUUUCUUUGGCAGAUUUUGCUUUGUCCGAGCGAAGUUGUCGAAAUUUACCUGGGAAAAGCAAAUUCAAAAUGACACCUGAUGAUGUCGUUUUGAAAUUUGCCGCGUCCGAAAUUUAUUCGGACAGUUCGCUCAAGCGGAGCAUCUUUUUCCCUUUUUUUUUUUUCUCAAUUUUCUGUGUGUUUUAAAAUGAAAAUGGUUUUUGCCAAAAACAAAACCAAACGACAUCUCGCUGACGUCAACUUUUAAUCAAUAUUCAGCAUUAUUUGCACUAUUCAACAAACAAGGUGACUAAAUGUACUUGAACGCUAACAUGAACAUCUACUCCUUGGUAAUAGAUUGUGAAAGUGAUGUCAGAAGUAGAUAAGUUUGAUUACCGACCGACGGAUCGCGUGACAUGACAGGAGCCAACAACGUGCCCAGCAUAACACGGUGAGGAUAAAUCGGAGCAGCAUCUAAUCAUCACUGCCGCGUACAUAGUUAAUGUCCUCAUAUCUCUAUGAAUGAAAAAAGAUAAUGAUGGAAUGAUUAACUUGGUAAUAUUUAUAAAUUAAUUGCAUUAAUAAUUACUACUUUGAAAUAUGCUGGGGGUAAAAAGUUUAUCCAAUCAUGAAUGCUCAUGCACUAAGAGAUGCUCACUAAAAAUUACACGGUAGGUGUUAGUGUUGUUGUUCUCUCAUAGCAUGGAGUGCUUAAAAUUUUGUCUCCAAAGUCGGAAGAAUCACUUCUAAAUGCAUUAUUUAAGAAAAAUCUUCUUCACAUGAUGAUUGGAGGAUCUUUAACCCUAAAUCCCUAGUAUGUACACAGUAUUUUCUCCAGCAACAGAAAAAUGCACUGACACUUGCUCAUCUAGUCAAAUAUCUAUUUUCUCCAAAAGAUUUACUAAUUUUAUUCUUCAAAUAUCUAUUUACUUACCUAUACGAUAAA
This 976-nucleotide long non-coding RNA is filed under the name Citrus x clementina. RNAcentral describes it as "Citrus clementina (C. clementina) long non-coding RNA (CCLE_LNC005711)". Lineage: Eukaryota; Viridiplantae; Streptophyta; Magnoliopsida; Sapindales; Rutaceae. The record is from RNAcentral.